RNAcentral lists this long non-coding RNA (640 nucleotides) under Nicotiana tabacum (common tobacco). Its description in RNAcentral is "long non-coding RNA (NTAB_LNC006980)". Lineage: Eukaryota; Viridiplantae; Streptophyta; Magnoliopsida; Solanales; Solanaceae. The record is from RNAcentral.
UCCACAAUUGUGAUAAUGAAAAUCCAACGGCCAAAUUUUGCACAAGGACAUUAUUGUCCCCAUAAAACCAAACCCUUAUCACCUCCCAAAACAACGCGGACCUUGCGAACUUUCCACGGCGCUUCUGUUUACCGUUUCGUCUCUGUACUCUAUAUCAGGUACGGCCAUUUCCUCUCACUACUUUCAUAAUAAUUUUUCUUUAUUCUCUAUGUAUGUGUGUGUGUAUAGAACUUUAGGGUUUGACUCGAAAUUUUCUGAUACAGCUUUGUGAAAAUCGGUGCAGCUUUUAAGGCGUUGACCGUUUUGGAUCACCUCCGGAUUUGAAUAAUCCGUCUAUUAGGUCAGUGUUUCCGAUGUAAUUAUCGCUUAAUUUGGUGGUUAAUUUGCUUUGAUUUGUUUUUCUCUUGUUUAGAUACUGGAGUUUGUUUUAGAUCUGUGCCUAAAUGAAUGAAUUUUGAGCUGUUUGAGAUCUAUGGAUGUACCUGAGUUAAAAGCAUGAAAUUUUGACUUAGAUCUACGGAUAUGUUAGUGCUAAAAUCUUGAAUUUUCAAUAUUUUCUUAGAUCCAUGUAUACUUUUGUGCUUAAACGCAUGGAUUGUGAGUUGGUUUUGGAUCUGUGGAUAUAUCUGUGCCACAAGCU